UGAUGCGGUCAUACCAGGGCUACUACACCAGAUCCCAUCAGAACUCUGCAGUUAAGCGCCCUUGGGCCGGAAUAGUACUGGGAUGGGUGACCU
RNAcentral lists this ribosomal RNA (93 nucleotides) under Marchantia romanica. The record is from RNAcentral. Lineage: Eukaryota; Viridiplantae; Streptophyta; Marchantiopsida; Marchantiales; Marchantiaceae.